This 602-nucleotide long non-coding RNA is filed under the name Homo sapiens (human). RNAcentral describes it as "non-protein coding lnc-MNX1-23:2". Lineage: Eukaryota; Metazoa; Chordata; Mammalia; Primates; Hominidae. The record is from RNAcentral.
GUACUUAACCCAGAACUCAUGCAGUUCAUCCAAAAUGAUGGUAAACUUUUUUCCUCAGAAUUACCUAACUUUCCUUGACUAUGAAUUCAACAUUCAAGAAUCUUCUUCUGGUAGCAGGAGCGGCAGAGAGGACAGGCAUGGAAAGGAGGCCUGUCUCCCACGGAGAACUCCUCUAGUGCCAGCAGACACGCAUGGUGGAACACAUGUGAGCAGGACAGGAGGGCCAUCUCUCUGGAACGCCUGCCUGCACCCACGCGCUGACCGCCAGCAGCGGAGAGAGGGGCCAGGCAGAUGGAGCACUCGUGGGUCUCCCGGCGCAGAGCCUGCGGCACACAGGACGGGAAGAGGCCACGCGGCUCCCUGCAGGAAGCGUGCCCUGCAGCAGGCGCGAACCACCCGAGCGGCCUCCACAUGCACCUAGACAGGCACGCCGGCUGGGUGCUCACACCUGGGCCCUUGCACCUGUGUCUGCCCAGAGGGGCUGGUCAGCACACCCUUUACAAUGAAGGCUCACAAAGUACACAACUCCAAGUGCCAGUCCAUGAAAGCAGUUCGCAUAGACUUUUCAUGCAGUUGAGUCUAAUUUAUAUUUUACUAUCCAC